UGAACCAGCCAAAUCGCGUGAAGGAAGAAGGUAUUAUGUAUCGUAAACUUCUUUUGUCAGGGAAUAAAGUGCACCACGCGUGGUGUUUUGUAUGUACCUGAAGAAUAAGGAUCGGCUAACUCCGUGCCAGCAGCCGCGGUAAUACGGAGGAUCCGAGCGUUAUCCGGAUUUAUUGGGUUUAAAGGGUGCGUAGGCGGGCUCAUAAGUCAGCGGUGAAAGUUCGUGGCUCAACCACGAAACUGCCGUUGAAACUGUGAGUCUUGAGUGUAGAUGAGGUGGGUGGAAUUCGUGGUGUAGCGGUGAAAUGCAUAGAUAUCACGAAGAACACCAAUUGCGUAGGCAGCUCACUGGGCUACAACUGACGCUGAGGCACGAAGGUGCGGGGAUCAAACAGGAUUAGAUACCCUGGUAGUCCGCACAGUAAACGAUGAAUACUAGCUGUUUGCGAUAUACUGCAAGUGGCACAGCGAAAGCGUUAAGUA
Molecule: ribosomal RNA, 482 nt
Filed under: uncultured bacterium
Lineage: Bacteria
Description: bacterial SSU rRNA
Rfam family: Bacterial small subunit ribosomal RNA
Source: RNAcentral